CCAACACUGGUUGGGCACAAAUGGCUUCUUUAAGCUUUCUGUAUGCUUGUUCAGUCGCUGGGGACCAUUUUACCACUACUGGAGCAUUAGCUUUAGAAAGGUCAGUUAAUGGGCUUCCAAUUGUAGCAAAAUUGGAUAUAAAUCUCCUGUAAUAUCCAAAGAGGCCAAGAAAUGUUCUCACCUGUUUCUUAGUCAGUGGUCUUGGCCAAUUUUGUAUGGCUUCGAUUUUAGCAACUUG
Non-coding RNA from Pelobates cultripes (western spadefoot toad), 238 nucleotides. Lineage: Eukaryota; Metazoa; Chordata; Amphibia; Anura; Pelobatidae. The record is from the annotation of a GenBank genome assembly.